AUACGAACCGUACGAACGUUAUUCGGAAUCACUGGGCUUAAAGAGUGCGUAGGCGGCCAAGUAAGUUGGAUGUGAAAGCCCCCGGCUCAACCGGGGAAUUGCGUUCAAUACUGCUUGGCUUGAGGAAGACAGAGGUGAGUGGAACUGAUGGUGGAGCGGUGAAAUGCGUUGAUAUCUUCAGGAACACCGGUGGCGAAGGCGGCUCACUGGGUCUUUUCUGACGCUAAGGCACGAAAGCAAGGGGAGCGAACGGGAUUAGAAACCCUAGUAGUCC
RNAcentral lists this ribosomal RNA (274 nucleotides) under uncultured bacterium. RNAcentral describes it as "partial 16S ribosomal RNA". It matches the Rfam family "Bacterial small subunit ribosomal RNA", at positions 523 to 796 of the family's 1533-position model. The record is from RNAcentral.